Molecule: ribosomal RNA, 497 nt
Filed under: uncultured bacterium
Lineage: Bacteria
Description: partial 16S ribosomal RNA
Rfam family: Bacterial small subunit ribosomal RNA
Source: RNAcentral
GAUGAACGCUGGCGGCGUGCCUAAUACAUGCAAGUCGAGCGAACAGACGAGGAGCUUGCUCCUCUGACGUUAGCGGCGGACGGGUGAGUAACACGUGGAUAACCUACCUAUAAGACUGGGAUAACUUCGGGAAACCGGAGCUAAUACCGGAUAAUAUAUUGAACCGCAUGGUUCAAUAGUGAAAGACGGUUUUGCUGUCACUUAUAGAUGGAUCCGCGCCGCAUUAGCUAGUUGGUAAGGUAACGGCUUACCAAGGCAACGAUGCGUAGCCGACCUGAGAGGGUGAUCGGCCACACUGGAACUGAGACACGGUCCAGACUCCUACGGGAGGCAGCAGUAGGGAAUCUUCCGCAAUGGGCGAAAGCCUGAUGGAGCAACGCCGCGUGAGUGAUGAAGGUCUUCGGAUCGUAAAACGCUGUUAUUAGGGAAGAACAAAUGUGUAAGUAACUAUGCACGUCUUGACGGUACCUAAUCAGAAAGCCACGGCUAACUACGUG